CCCUUAGAUGUCCUGGGCCGCACGCGCGCUACACUGAUGCAUUCAACGAGUGUUUUUGUUCCUUGGCCGAGAGGCCUGGGUAAUCUUUUGAACGUGCAUCGUGAUAGGGAUAGAUUAUUGCAAUUUUUAAUCUUGAACGAGGAAUUCCUAGUAAACGCAGAUCAUCAAUCUGCAUUGAUUACGUCCCUGCCCUUUGUACACACCGCCCGUCGCACCUACCGAUUGAAUGGUCCGGUGAAGCCUCGGGAUUGUGGUUGGUUCCCUUUAUUGGGAGUCGGUCGCGAGAACUUGUCUAAACCUUAUCAUUUAGAGGAAGGUGAAGUCGUAACA
RNAcentral lists this ribosomal RNA (330 nucleotides) under uncultured eukaryote. RNAcentral describes it as "partial 18S ribosomal RNA". It matches the Rfam family "Eukaryotic small subunit ribosomal RNA", at positions 1470 to 1796 of the family's 1831-position model. The record is from RNAcentral.